Molecule: ribosomal RNA, 460 nt
Filed under: uncultured bacterium
Lineage: Bacteria
Description: partial 16S ribosomal RNA
Rfam family: Bacterial small subunit ribosomal RNA
Source: RNAcentral
CCUACGGGUGGCAGCAGUGAGGAAUAUUGGUCAAUGGACGAGAGUCUGAACCAGCCAAGUAGCGUGAAGGAUGACUGCCCUAUGGGUUGUAAACCUCUUUUAUCAAGGAAUAAAACGAGGCACGUGUGCCUUUUUGCAUGUACUUUAUGAAUAAGGAUCGGCUAACUCCGUGCCAGCAGCCGCGGUAAUACGGAGGAUCCGAGCGUUAUCCGGAUUUAUUGGGUUUAAAGGGUGCGUAGGCGGGUUGUUAAGUCAGGUGUGAAAGUUUGCGGCUCAACCGUAAAAUUGCAAUUGAUACUGGCGGUCUUGAGUGCGGUUGAGGUAGGCGGAAUGCGUGGUGUAGCGGUGAAAUGCAUAGAUAUCACGAAGAACCCCGAUUGCGAAGGCAGCAUACUAACCUGUGACUGACAUUGAUGCUCGAAAGUGUGGGUAUCGAACAGGAUUAGAUACCCUUGUAGUC